UGGCUCAGUUCAGAUCGUAGGCUGCAACUCGCCUACGUGAAGGCGGAAUCGCUAGUAAUCGCAGGUCAGCAUACUGCGGUGAAUACGUUCCCGGGCCUUGUACACACCGCCCGUCACACCAUGGAAGUUGGCCACGCCCGAAGCCGUUACUCCAACCCUUGUGGAGGAGGACGUCGAAGGUGGGGCUGAUGACUGGGGUGAAGUCGUAACAAGGUAUCCGUACCGGAAGGUGCGGAUGGAUCACCUCCUAACAGGGAGACAACACAAUGAUUUUGAUGCCUGAGUGCUUUUAUUCUUAGGCCGAAAUCCUGUCACCUUAGGUCGAUCGGUACCUCAGCUUUGAAGUCAAGGAUCAGCAGCAAUGUUGAUUGCUUGAUGGAGAUUUUCAGUUCCUAAACUUUGUCUAGGUCACACCCCAAAAGGGAUGAGACUCCUGGGCCAUUAGCUCAGGUGGUUAGAGCGCACCCCUGAUAAGGGUGAGGUCCCUGGUUCAAGUCCAGGAUGGCCCAUUCGGUGUUGGGGGUUUAGCUCAGUUGGUAGAGCGCCUGCUUUGCAAGCAGGAUGUCAGGAGUUCGAGUCUCCUAACCUCCACUGACCGAACUUGAUUCCCAUCUCCAAUUUUUUUUUGGAGUUGAGCUCGAUUGGAGUGUGAUUUAGAUGUGUCCGCUGGAUGACCCCAGCUUCCUGUCAUUCCAAGUUUUAGGUUGAUUCCUUGAAUUUGGUUGAUAAGAUGCUGGGCU
Molecule: unclassified non-coding RNA, 740 nt
Filed under: uncultured Synechococcus sp.
Lineage: Bacteria; Bacillati; Cyanobacteriota; Cyanophyceae; Synechococcales; Synechococcaceae
Description: partial contains 16S ribosomal RNA and 16S-23S ribosomal RNA intergenic spacer
Rfam family: Bacterial small subunit ribosomal RNA (bases 1-251)
Source: RNAcentral